GACGAACGCUGGCGGCGUGCUUAACACAUGCAAGUCGAACGGAAAGGCCCUGCUUUUGUGGGGUGCUCGAGUGGCGAACGGGUGAGUAACACGUGAGUAACCUGCCCUUGACUUUGGGAUAACUUCAGGAAACUGGGGCUAAUACCGGAUAGGAGCUCCUGCUGCAUGGUGGGGGUUGGAAAGUUUCGGCGGUUGGGGAUGGACUCGCGGCUUAUCAGCUUGUUGGUGGGGUAGUGGCUUACCAAGGCUUUGACGGGUAGCCGGCCUGAGAGGGUGACCGGCCACAGUGGGACUGAGAUACGGCCCAGACUCCUACGGGAGGCAGCAGGGGGGAAUAUUGCACAAUGGGCGGAAGCCUGAUGCAGCAACGCCGCGUGCGGGAUGACGGCCUUCGGGUUGUAAACCGCUUUCGCCUGUGACGAAGCGUGAGUGACGGUAAUGGGUAAAGAAGCACCGGCUAACUACGU
This 467-nucleotide ribosomal RNA is filed under the name uncultured bacterium. RNAcentral's name for it is "partial 16S ribosomal RNA". It matches the Rfam family "Bacterial small subunit ribosomal RNA", at positions 28 to 506 of the family's 1533-position model. The record is from RNAcentral.